Molecule: ribosomal RNA, 885 nt
Filed under: uncultured archaeon
Lineage: Archaea
Description: bacterial SSU rRNA
Rfam family: Archaeal small subunit ribosomal RNA
Source: RNAcentral
UCCGUGAUCCCGCCGGACCCACUGCUAUCGGGAUGAGACUAGACAUGCUAGUCGCGCGCUUCCAGCUAUGUGAGAGGAGCGGCGUACAGCUCAGUAACACGUGGCUAACUUGCCCUUUGGGACAAAAACACCCCCAGGAAACUAGGGCUAAUUUUCGAUAGGUGAAGAACUCUGGAAUGAGUCUUCGCCGAAAAGCCAUUUAGAUCAUGCUUCUAGAUGGCGCCCAAGGAUAGGGCCGCGACCGAUCAGGGUUGUUGGUGAGGUAAUGGCCCACCAAGCCUAUGACCGGUGCGGGCCGUGAGAGCGGGAGCCCCGGAGAUGGGCACUGAGACAAGGGCCCAGGUCCUACGGGGCGCAGCAGUCGCGAAAACUUUGCAAUACACGAAAGUGUGACAGGGUCAUCCCGAGUGCCGACCGCUGAGGUUGGCUUUUACCCAGUCUAGAAAGCUGGGGGAAUAAGGAGAGGGCAAGUCUGGUGUCAGCCGCCGCGGUAAUACCAGCUCUCCGAGUGGUGUGGACGUUUAUUGGGCCUAAAGCAUCCGUGGCUGGCUGGACAAGUCCCCUGUUAAACCCACCGAUUUAAUCGUUGGUCUGCGGGGGAUACUGCUCGGCUAGGGGACGAGAGAGGCAGACGGUAUUCCCGGGGUAGGGGUGAAAUCCUAUAAUCCCGAGAAGACCACCAGUGGCGAAGGCUGUCUGCUAGAGCGCGCCCGACGGUGAGGGAUGAAAGCUGGGGGAGCGAACCGGAUUAGAUACCCGGGUAGUCCCAGCUGUAAACGAUGCAGACUAGGUGUUUGGACGGCCACGUGCCGUUCUAGUGCCGCAGGGAAGCUGUUAAGUCUGCCGCCUGGGGAGUACGAUCGCAAGAUUGAAACUUAAAGGAAU